This 827-nucleotide long non-coding RNA is filed under the name Homo sapiens (human). RNAcentral's name for it is "non-protein coding lnc-ALDH7A1-2:2". Lineage: Eukaryota; Metazoa; Chordata; Mammalia; Primates; Hominidae. The record is from RNAcentral.
CUCACAUAUAUUGCCAGCCCUCUCCCUGCCCAGAACUCUUGUGACUGGCCCUAAGGCAGAUCAGGUGUUUAUUCCAUAUCCUUGAUGACAAAGAAACUGUGAUCGUGUUCUGGGGAAUGUCCCUUUUCCCAUUCAAGUGUAUGAUCAUAUUUUCAAGCAAUCACGUUUACAUUCAGCCUGGAAACUUUCUGCCCAGUUCUUAAGUUCUACUGCCAGCAGCUUGGAUACUACAGAAUGCUGAUUUAGCUCAUAGGAUGCAUUGAACCACUUUGCCAUGGUAACCAGCAGACAGACCUGAGAGAAGCAAGGCUGCAGAGAAACUGUAGCCAUCACCAAACAACAAAUCAAAGGGAAGUGUCUCAGGAGAGAUUUCUAAUUAUCAUACAUUUGUCCUUGCAGCCAAACCAGGAUGCAGUGGAAAUGGUGCCUUUGGCACUAGCAUCUUAGGUCACAAAAUCAGUUGUCUUGAAAUUCUUACUAACUUUUGAACGUGGAACCCUACAUCUUCGUUUUGUACUGGUCCCCACAUAUUUUAUAGCUGAUCUGAAGGAGGAGAGAGAGAUGAUGGGGGAUGAAGGGUAUGGAAUUGUAUGCUAUGGCUGCCUGCUGUCGAAGUUCUCCAGGUCCAGAGAGGAUUUAAGUUGCUGGAAUAAUCCACCCAGUCUUCGAGAUGUGAUUAUAUAAUUGAUGGUAUGUGGAUAUCACUGAUCACAAAACACAAUAAAGGACCUAAGGCAACAUCUUUGUUCUUUCUCAAUGUGGGGAAAAUGUUUUUGUUCUACUUGGUAAGUGGCCUCUGCAGUGUCUCUUGGAGACCUCAAUAAAUG